RNAcentral lists this ribosomal RNA (490 nucleotides) under uncultured bacterium. Its description in RNAcentral is "partial 16S ribosomal RNA". It matches the Rfam family "Bacterial small subunit ribosomal RNA", at positions 30 to 507 of the family's 1533-position model. The record is from RNAcentral.
AUUGAACGCUGGCGGCAGGCCUAACACAUGCAAGUCGAACGGUAACAGGAAGAAGCUUGCUUCUUUGCUGACGAGUGGCGGACGGGUGAGUAAUGUCUGGGGAACUGCCUGAUGGAGGGGGAUAACUACUGGAAACGGUAGCUAAUACCGCAUAACGUCGCAAGACCAAAAAGGGGGACCUUCGGGCCUCUUGCCAUCGGAUGUGCCCAGAUGGGAUUAGCUAGUAGGUGGGGUAACGGCUCACCUAGGCGACGAUCCCUAGCUGGUCUGAGAGGAUGACCAGCCACACUGGAACUGAGACACGGUCCAGACUCCUACGGGAGGCAGCAGUGGGGAAUAUUGCACAAAGGGCGCAAGCCUGAUGCAGCCAUGCCGCGUGUAUGAAGAAGGCCUUCGGGUUGUAAAGUACUUUCAGCGGGGAGGAAGGGAGUAAAGUUAAUACCUUUGCUCAUUGACGUUACCCGCAGAAGAAGCACCGGCUAACUCCGUG